RNAcentral lists this ribosomal RNA (212 nucleotides) under uncultured bacterium. Its description in RNAcentral is "partial 16S ribosomal RNA". It matches the Rfam family "Bacterial small subunit ribosomal RNA", at positions 345 to 569 of the family's 1533-position model. The record is from RNAcentral.
GAGGCACCAGUGGGGAAUAUUGGGCAAUGGCGGUGACUGUGCACCAGGGAGGCCGUGUGAGGGAUGAAGGCUUUCGGGUGGUAAGCCUCUUUCAGUAGGGAAGAAGGGAAAGCGACGGUGCCUACAGAGGAAGCGCCGGGUAUAUAUGUGCCAGCACACGCGGUAAUACAUAGGGGGCACGAGUUGUCCUGAAAUAUUGGGGGUAAAGAGCU